CAUUCUAUUUUAUAUAGAGGUUUUUGGCCCUGAAGAUUUUUUUCCCUGCUAAGAUGUUCAACCAGAAAGAUUCCAGUCACAAGUGGUGUUCCUCAGGGGUCCGUGCUGGGGCCAAUACUGUUUAACAUUUUUAUCAAUGAUAUAGACAGGGAGAUUAAAGGCACCAUCAGCAAGUUUGCAGAUGACACCAAGUGGUGUUGUUGAUACACCAGAGGGAUGGGAUGUCAUCCAAAAGGACCUGGACAGGCUGGAGAGGUGGGCCCAGGUGAACCUCAUGAGGUUCAACAAGAGCAAAUGCAAGGUUCUGCACCUGGGCCGGAACAAUCCUCACCAUCAGUACAGACUGGGGGUGAGGUAUUAGAAAGCAGCCCUGAGGAAAGGGACUUGGGGGUGCUGGUGGAGGAGAAGCUGGACAUGAGCAGGCAGGGUGCAGCUGCAGCCCAGAAGGCCAAUCCCAUCCUGGGCUGCAUCAAAAGAAGCGUUGCCAGCAGGUCCAGAGAGGUGAUUCUGCCACUUCACUCUGCUCUGGUGAGACCUCACCUGGAGUAUUGUGUGCAGGUCUGGAGCCCUCAAUAUAAGAAGGACAUGGACCUGAUGGAGAGGGUCCAGAGGAGGGCCACGAGGAUGAUCAGGGGGAUGGAGCACCUCUGCUACGAGGACAGGCUGAGGGAGCUGGGGUUGUUCAGCCUGGAGAAGAGGAGGCUCCGGGGAGACCUAAUAGCAGCCUUCCAGUACCUGAAGGGAGCCUACAGGAAGGCUGAGGAGAACCUGUUUAGAAAGGCCUGCAGUGACAGGACGAGGGGCAAUGGCUUCAAGCUGGAGGGGAACAGAUUUAGGCUGGAGAUUAGGAGAGGGUUCUUCACUGUGAGGGUGGUGGAGCACUGGAACAGGUUUCCCAGGGAGGUGGUUGAGGCCCCAUCCCUGGAGAUAUUCAAGGAGAGGCUCGACAAGGCCCUGGGCAACCUGGUCUAGUUGGGGGUGUCCCUGCUGACUGUGGGGAGGUCGGACUAGAUGACCUUUGGAG
This 1024-nucleotide long non-coding RNA is filed under the name Calidris pugnax (ruff). Its description in RNAcentral is "lncRNA (ENSCPUG00000019512.1)". The record is from RNAcentral. Lineage: Eukaryota; Metazoa; Chordata; Aves; Charadriiformes; Scolopacidae.